Molecule: ribosomal RNA, 245 nt
Filed under: uncultured bacterium
Lineage: Bacteria
Description: partial 16S ribosomal RNA
Rfam family: Bacterial small subunit ribosomal RNA
Source: RNAcentral
UACAGAGGUCCCGAGCGUUACUGAGAAUCACUGGGUUUAAAGGGUGCGUAGGUGGUCUGUUAAGUCCAUUGUGAAAUCCCCGGGCUCAACUCGGGAACUGCUUUGGAUACUGGCAGACUUGAGGCCAGUAGAGGUCACUGGAACUGACGGUGGAGCGGUGAAAUGCGUAGAUAUCGUCAGGAACGCCGGUGGUGAAGACGGGUGACUGGGCUGGUUCUGACACUGAGGCACGAAAGCGUGGGGAG